GUGCGGUCUAUGUCUCUGACGAAUUGUUAUGACCAGCGUUGGUCUUGAUGAAUCUGUGACCUACGAGGGUAAGACGUAACAAGAUGCCCUUUACCAGUUUGAACUAUGUACGAUGUUAAUAUUAUGUUUCUAGCUCCGAGCGGAUUCGCGUAUUAGUGCCACCUAAUUAUCCAUAAUGAACGUACCGUAUAUUACCAGCACUUCCUUGUGCUGGGAUGUUCGUGUGUUGAAAAUUGAGAACAAACCCACCUACAAGGACACGACAAUACAAUUUUU
Pelobates cultripes (western spadefoot toad) is the source of this 276-nucleotide non-coding RNA. The record is from the annotation of a GenBank genome assembly. Lineage: Eukaryota; Metazoa; Chordata; Amphibia; Anura; Pelobatidae.